GCUGGUGGCGUGCCUUAUACAUGCAAGUCGAACGAGAACGGGUGUUAGUUUGCUAACAUUGUCAGCUAAGUGGCGCACGGGUGAGUAAUACAUAGAUAACAUGCCCUUUAGAGAGGGAUAACUGUUGGAAACGACAGCUAAUACCUCAUAUGCUAUAUAUCAUAAGAUAUAUAGUGAAAAGGUUAAUUCUGCUAAAGGAUUGGUCUAUGACCUAUUAGUUAGUUGGUGAGGUAAAGGCUCACCAAGACAAUGACGGGUAGCUGGUUUGAGAGGAUGAACAGCCACACUGGGACUGAGACACGGCCCAAACUCCUACGGGAGGCAGCAGUGGGGAAUAUUGCACAAUGGGCGGAAGCCUGAUCCAGCAAUGCCGCGUGUGUGAAGAAGGCCCUAGGGUUGUAAAGCACUU
Molecule: ribosomal RNA, 409 nt
Filed under: uncultured bacterium
Lineage: Bacteria
Description: bacterial SSU rRNA
Rfam family: Bacterial small subunit ribosomal RNA
Source: RNAcentral